CUUGACAUCCAGCGAAUUCGGUAGAGAUACCUUAGUGCCUUCGGGAACGCUGAGACAGGUGCUGCAUGGCUGUCGUCAGCUCGUGUUGUGAAAUGUUGGGUUAAGUCCCGCAACGAGCGCAACCCUUAUCCUUUGUUGCCAGCGGUCCGGCCGGGAACUCAAAGGAGACUGCCAGUGAUAAACUGGAGGAAGGUGGGGAUGACGUCAAGUCAUCAUGGCCCUUACGAGUAGGGCUACACACGUGCUACAAUGGCGCAUACAAAGAGAAGCGACCUCGCGAGAGCAAGCGGACCUCAUAAAGUGCGUCGUAGUCCGGAUUGGAGUCUGCAACUCGACUCCAUGAAGUCGGAAUCGCUAGUAAUCGUAGAUCAGAAUGCUACGGUGAAUACGUUCCCGGGCCUUGUACACACCGCCCGUCACACCAUGGGAGUGGGUUGCAAAAGAAGUAGGUAGCUUAACCUUCGGGAGGGCGCUUACCACUUUGUGAUUCAUGACUGGGGUGAAGUCGUAACAAGGUAGGCGUAGACGU
This 529-nucleotide ribosomal RNA is filed under the name uncultured bacterium. RNAcentral describes it as "bacterial SSU rRNA". It matches the Rfam family "Bacterial small subunit ribosomal RNA", at positions 980 to 1509 of the family's 1533-position model. The record is from RNAcentral.